AAUAAUGCCACAAGUGAUUUUAAUAUGUUGAAUCUCCUUCUGAGAGAGAAGGAAUGCGGGGUUGAGAUUCUCGAGAGGAUGAGAAGGUCGGUCGGAUGGAGUCGGAGGGUGAGGCUGAUCAGUUGCAGUCGGAGGAAGAAGUUGGUCGGUUGACGUCAGAGGAUGAGGUUGAUCGGUUGAAGUCGGAGGAUGAGGUUGAUCAGUUGAAGUCGGAGGAGGAGGUUGGUCGGUUGUAGUUGGAGAAGUCCAAAAAAGUUGGAUCGAGGAAGUCGAAGCCGACGGUGAGAUGGAGGAGGAAGGUCUG
Molecule: long non-coding RNA, 304 nt
Filed under: Ananas comosus (pineapple)
Lineage: Eukaryota; Viridiplantae; Streptophyta; Magnoliopsida; Poales; Bromeliaceae
Description: long non-coding RNA (ACOM_LNC041531)
Source: RNAcentral